Apodemus sylvaticus (European woodmouse) is the source of this 839-nucleotide long non-coding RNA. RefSeq lists it as uncharacterized. The record is from RefSeq and is a predicted model, not a curated record. The transcript has 2 exons. NCBI's taxonomy places the organism in Eukaryota, Metazoa, Chordata, Mammalia, Rodentia, Muridae.
GAGACCAAAGCUCCUUCUGGCUUCCACCUUCUCCCCAGCUAUCAAAACUUUCAAAACUCUCCAUAUGAACGUUUAUGCUUGAGGAAAUGGGGGUGAUCAGACCCAAAGGCCACUUGCUUGUGUCGGUUUACAGUAGCUGUGUAUAGAGAGAACAUCUCAUACCUUGCCAGGUGGUCUGGGGCAGAUAAGGAAGAAGGAGGGAUUUGUGGCGUCUUGCCUUGGUGAGGCAGUUGGAAGACUUUUCUUCUGAUUAGCUUGGUGAAGCAUCCACCCCCACAUCAAGCAACCGCAUGAGGAGACUUCAUGAACAAGUCUCACCCAGGAGAGCCACUCACCCCUGUAGCUAAAGCCAAGGACAGUGGAUUUCUUUCCCCACAAGAUGGCUGCCCUGUGGGUCAGGAGACGGGAGCUUCCUAACUAGAUGGAAUGAGGAUGCUGACUGCAGGAAUGGAGGAACUUUUCCCACUGCAGAAGAACAAUGUGGUGCCUACAGGACUGUGCUGGGUGAACAUUGUCCAUUCCUCCCCGCAAGGUGCUCUGGGCCGUGUGGUGAGCCCAGGGAGGAAUGCUGGAGGAGACCAUGGCGGGCAGCAGAGCAGGACUUGGGAAAGCCGUGCGCACUGCUCCAUCUAUCCUCAGUACAUCUGUUCUCAUCAGUGUCUACCUACCCUGCUCACACGUGCCCCUCACUCCUCACUGGCAACAGGCCUUUCUUUCCCCCACCAUCAAAAGAGCUAUUUCAGUGAUUGUCAUCGUACCUGGUCCAUAGCCUCUAGACUAUACAUAUGUCUGUCAAAUUAAUCGGUUAUAAACAUGGAAAGGUUUCUUUCAAAAACGUU